Long non-coding RNA from Magnolia sinica, 1178 nucleotides. RefSeq lists it as uncharacterized. NCBI's taxonomy places the organism in Eukaryota, Viridiplantae, Streptophyta, Magnoliopsida, Magnoliales, Magnoliaceae. The transcript is spliced from 4 exons. The record is from RefSeq and is a predicted model, not a curated record.
ACGUGGAAAGGUGAGCGAUUUCUCCUCUUCUUUUUAUUAAUUUCCUUAUGCAUGUUUUGUGAAUCAUCUCCAAUUCUCGACCGCACCUGAUUAGUUCAUCCUAGCCGUUCGUCUCCCAUCUCCUCCCUAUAAAAACCAGUAUCUCUGCCCAAGGUCGUCUCUCUUUGAUUUCUCUAGAAUUUCAGUCCUCCCACAAGCAAGAAGAGAGAUUGUGAGGGUUUCUCGGUAGCCUUCCCAAAGGUCCAUGUGACCUUAUGAACAACUUUGGAUCAGUCUCAUUUUUUGCCCCAUGCCUCAUCUAUUAAGCAAAAAGAUCCACUGAUAUGUAACCUUGUUUCGAGAUAGCAAGAUCUGGGCACAGUUUGUGGUUGAGGCAAACUGUGAGAUUACUAGGAUGGAUAUAUUUCUCUCUCUUGUUUAACUUCUACAAGAAACAACAAUGGGCAGCAUCAGUUCUGGUGGUCAGCCGACUGUUGCUCCCGAUGGUGGAGUUCCAGUAUUUUCCAACUAUUAGAAAUCUCCCAUACCACUCCCAAUCAGCUUAGCAGACAUAAUGCAGUAAUUUUGGCAUGUGGGUCUGAUCUGGAAUUAUUGUGAAUAGGCGACUUAUCUAUAGUUAAAUAACUGGAUCCUUAUCGCUCUUCUUCCUAUUCUUCUUCAGAUGAGCUUUUAGACCCAAAGGAGUCUUGGCAAGCUGAGGAAGGGUUUUGAGGUACUCUUUUGACAUCAGACAUCUUUCUCUUUGUUUUCCCUUUUGUUUAUGGUAGAAAGCAGGCUUGUAAUCUAAAAUUGUGUCAUUGAUACAAGAUCUAAAAGGUGUCAGUGCUUUAAGGUGACAUGCUGAGGUGAGAUGCAAUUCUUUUCUCCCGAUCCUCUCUGUUCAUAUUUUGGCUUUCUACCUUUUCCUCUAUUUUAUUAGAUAUCUUGGUUCCUAUUAAUAUGGCAUUGGGCAUGAUUUGGUUAAAUUCUUGAAAUUUCUUUAGAGUUUAUGUUUGGGUUAGUUGGCUGCACACCCAGUUCUCACAAGCACCUAGUUCUUGAAAUUUAAGUCAUUUUUUUUUCUCUAUAACUUGUAAUUGGCACUGAAGAUUGCGAAGUUCCUUAGAAACAGGUUAUGAAAGUCUAAAGAAUUUCAAUCUGUUGUGGUAUUAGAUGUUUGCUGAGGUGACAAUUUGCUU